This 66-nucleotide non-coding RNA is filed under the name Pseudonocardia sp. Lineage: Bacteria; Bacillati; Actinomycetota; Actinomycetes; Pseudonocardiales; Pseudonocardiaceae. The record is from RNAcentral.
CCGGAGCCGCCCACCGCGGCCACCCCGGACGAGCGCGUCGUACCCGGAACGACAAGACGGCGCCCC